This 279-nucleotide ribosomal RNA is filed under the name uncultured bacterium. RNAcentral's name for it is "partial 16S ribosomal RNA". It matches the Rfam family "Bacterial small subunit ribosomal RNA", at positions 1213 to 1500 of the family's 1533-position model. The record is from RNAcentral.
GGGACACACGUGUUACAAUGGCAGGUACAGAGGGGUGCUACCGGGUGACCGGAUGCCGAUCUCGAAAACCUGUCCCAGUUCGGACUGGAGUCUGCAACCCGACUCCACGAAGUUGGAUUCGCUAGUAAUCGCGCAUCAGCCAUGGCGCGGUGAAUACGUUCCCGGGCCUUGUACACACCGCCCGUCAAGCCAUGGGAGCCGGGGGCGCCUGAAGUCCGGGACCGCGAGGACCGGCCUAAGGCGAAACUGGUGACUGGGGCUAAGUCGUAACAAGGUACC